RNAcentral lists this transfer RNA (74 nucleotides) under Geitlerinema splendidum. RNAcentral describes it as "tRNA-Pro". It matches the Rfam family "tRNA". Rfam says of the family: Transfer RNA (tRNA) molecules are approximately 80 nucleotides in length. Their secondary structure includes four short double-helical elements and three loops (D, anti-codon, and T loops). The record is from RNAcentral. Lineage: Bacteria; Bacillati; Cyanobacteriota; Cyanophyceae; Geitlerinematales; Geitlerinemataceae. RNAcentral also lists the same sequence under 4 other names.
CGGAGUGUGGCGCAGCCUGGUAGCGCGCUUGCAUGGGGUGCAAGAGGUCCCGAGUUCGAGUCUCGGCACUCCGA